Long non-coding RNA from Cryptomeria japonica (Japanese cedar), 1044 nucleotides. RefSeq lists it as uncharacterized. The record is from RefSeq and is a predicted model, not a curated record. NCBI's taxonomy places the organism in Eukaryota, Viridiplantae, Streptophyta, Pinopsida, Cupressales, Cupressaceae. The transcript is spliced from 2 exons.
ACGGCAAGUGCUCUGUACAAAUUUCAUUAAUAUUAUUUACUUAUUUGUUAAAUGCUCUGUACAGAUUUCAUUAAUUUUUAAGGUUUAAAAAAAAAACAUUUUUCAUUACGGUCCAUUCUACUAUUCUUGCUACACAGAAAGCUUGAUUGAAAUCCAUUAGUGGAUACACUCCCGUAAUUAGCACUCUGAAGACAAGAAGGCAUUGUAGAGGAGGGAAAGGCAUUGUUCUUUGCAGGGUUCAUGUUCAGAAUUUUUAUUUGCAGGGCGAAUUUCGUGGUUUUUUGCAGGCUUCGCAGGUUUGGAAAAACUUGUUUAUUUUGUGCAGCUGAAUCGCAUUUUGGGUCGUGAGGGUUUCUGGUUCGAAAUUUUCGUGCAAGGGUUUUCUGGAAAAAAUUUCGAGGGUUUUUUUUCAUCAACUGUGGAUUUUCGAUGAUGGAUUUUCCUCUGCUCGCGAUGCGAUUUUGUGAACAAUGGUUUUUUAUUUCGCGACCUGCAGAUUUUUUUUGGUGAGGAUUUUUCGUGAUUCACGUUUUGUUUUGCAUCAAGCUUUUUUGGUGGGCGAUUUUUUUCGCGAUGGCUCUGUAUUGGCCCGCAAUUCGCACCUUGUUUUAGUGCAACCUGCGUCGUUCUUCGCGACAUCUGUGGGCAUUUUUUUUUUGGCUUAGGCGGCGAUAACUUCUCUGCAACCUGUGCGAUUUCCGCGAUUUCCAUUUUUACAGGGUCGAAAUUUUAUCAUGCGUUUGUUUUUCCUGGCAGAUUUAGAUGCUUAUAGUUGCAGUGAUUAGCUUCUUGAGCUCAUUAGGGUUGUAGAAAUUACUUCUGGGUUGACGUCAUUUAUGAUUGAACGUUGUACUUUUUUGGAGCUAAAAUUGUCAAUUAGAAGAAAGCCUGAAUCUGUGUUCAACACAUUAGUUGUGGGUUUUCCCCAACAAAUCAGGUAAUCGGAAAUGUUUUUGAUGUUUCAAAAAGGAAAUUGGAUUAAUUUGCAGGGAAUAAUUUGUUUUGUCUUGUGCUCAUUGUAAAUUGCAAAACUUGAUUGUGUUA